UUAGCAGUAGGGAAUCUUCCACAAUGGACGCAAGUCUGAUGGAGCAACGCCGCGUGAGUGAAGAAGGUUUUCGGAUCGUAAAGCUCUGUUGUUGGUGAAGAACGAUAGAGGUAGUAACUGGCCUUUAUUUGACGGUAUCAACCAGCAAGUCACGGCUAACUACGUGCCAGCAGCCGCGGUAAUACGUAGGUGGCAAGCGUUGUCCGGAUUUAUUGGGCGUAAAGCGAGCGCAGGCGGGUAGAAUAAGUCUGAUGUGAAAGCCCUCGGCUUAACCGGGGUAGUGCAUCGAAAACUGAAGACUGAUGCAG
This 308-nucleotide ribosomal RNA is filed under the name Lactobacillus sp. Its description in RNAcentral is "bacterial SSU rRNA". It matches the Rfam family "Bacterial small subunit ribosomal RNA", at positions 348 to 649 of the family's 1533-position model. Lineage: Bacteria; Bacillati; Bacillota; Bacilli; Lactobacillales; Lactobacillaceae. The record is from RNAcentral.